GGGUUCAAGUCCCUCUAUCCCCC
RNAcentral lists this transfer RNA (23 nucleotides) under Calophyllum inophyllum. RNAcentral's name for it is "partial tRNA-Leu". The record is from RNAcentral. Lineage: Eukaryota; Viridiplantae; Streptophyta; Magnoliopsida; Malpighiales; Calophyllaceae.